UUGACCUCGAAUCAGGUAGGAAUACCCGCUGAACUUAAGCAUAUCAAUAAGCGGAGGAAAAGAAACCAACAGGGAUUGCCUUAGUAACGGCGAGUGAAGCGGCAACAGCUCAAAUUUGAAAUCUGGCCUUUGGUCCGAGUUGUAAUUUGCAGAGGAUGCUUCGGGCGCGGUGCCUUCCAAGUCCCCUGGAACGGGGCGCCGGAGAGGGUGAGAGCCCCGUACGGUUGGCGGCCAAGCCUGUGUGAAGCUCCUUCGACGAGUCGAGUAGUUUGGGAAUGCUGCUCUAAGCGGGAGGUAGACCCCUUCUAAAGCUAAAUACCGGCCAGAGACCGAUAGCGCACAAGUAGAGUGAUCGAAAGAUGAAAAGCACUUUGAAAAGAGGGUUAAACAGCACGUGAAAUUGUUGAAAGGGAAGCGCUUGUGACCAGACGUGCGCCGGGGUGUUCAGCGGGCGUUCUCGCCCGUGCACUCGCCCCGGUGCAGGCCAGCGUCGGUUUGGAUGGGGGGAUAAAGGCGUCUGGAAUGUGGCUCCUCCGGGAGUGUUAUAGCCAGGCGUGCCAUGCCUCCGUCCGGACCGAGGUACGCGUUCUGCAAGGACGCUGGCGUAAUGGUCUCCAGCGACCCGUCUUGAAACACGGACCAAGGAGUCGAGGUUUUGCGCGAGUGUUUGGGUGAAAAACCCGCACGCGUAAUGAAAGUGAACGUAGGUGAGAGCUUCGGCGCAUCACCGACCGAUCCUGAUGUUUUCGGAUGGAUUUGAGUAAGAGCGUAGGGCCUCGGACCCGAAAGAUGGUGAACUAUGCUUGGAUAGGGUGAAGCCAGAGGAAACUCUGGUGGAGGCUCGCAGCGGUUCUGACGUGCAAAUCGAUCGUCAAAUCUGAGCAUGGGGGCGAAAGACUAAUCGAACCAUCUAGUAGCUGGUUACCGCCGAA
This 932-nucleotide ribosomal RNA is filed under the name Chloridium moratum. Its description in RNAcentral is "partial large subunit ribosomal RNA". It matches the Rfam family "Eukaryotic large subunit ribosomal RNA", at positions 1 to 965 of the family's 3401-position model. Lineage: Eukaryota; Fungi; Ascomycota; Sordariomycetes; Chaetosphaeriales; Chaetosphaeriaceae. The record is from RNAcentral.